Molecule: ribosomal RNA, 515 nt
Filed under: uncultured bacterium
Lineage: Bacteria
Description: partial 16S ribosomal RNA
Rfam family: Bacterial small subunit ribosomal RNA
Source: RNAcentral
GAUGAACGCUGGCGGCGUGCCUAAUACAUGCAAGUCGAGCGAAUGGAUUAAGAGCUUGCUCUUAUGAAGUUAGCGGCGGACGGGUGAGUAACACGUGGGUAACCUGCCCAUAAGACUGGGAUAACUCCGGGAAACCGGGGCUAAUACCGGAUAACAUUUUGAACCGCAUGGUUCGAAAUUGAAAGGCGGCUUCGGCUGUCACUUAUGGAUGGACCCGCGUCGCAUUAGCUAGUUGGUGAGGUAACGGCUCACCAAGGCAACGAUGCGUAGCCGAGCGGGGAGGGUGAUCGGCCACACUGGGACGGAGACACGGCCCAGACUCCUACGGGAGGCAGCAGUAGGGAAUCUUCCGCAAUGGACGAAGGUCUGACGGAGCAACGCCGCGUGAGUGAUGAAGGCUUUCGGGUCGUAAAACUCUGUUGUUAGGGAAGAACAAGUGCUAGUUGAAGAAGCUGGCACCUUGACGGUACCUAACCAGAAAGCCACGGCUAACUACGUGCCAGCCGCCGCCGUAA